RNAcentral lists this ribosomal RNA (325 nucleotides) under Decolopoda australis. RNAcentral's name for it is "partial 12S ribosomal RNA". Lineage: Eukaryota; Metazoa; Arthropoda; Pycnogonida; Pantopoda; Colossendeidae. The record is from RNAcentral.
UAUUUGUUAUAUCAUUAAAUUUAAAAGAUUUGGCGGUAAAUUAUUUAAUUAGAGGAACUUGUUUAGUAAUCGAUAAUCCACGUUUAAUUUUUCCUAUAUUUGUUAAUCAAUUUAUAUACCGUUGUUUAUGAAAAUUUUUAUUGAAUUUUAAUUUUCUUAAUAAAUUUUUUAAUAAAAUCAAGUCAAGGUGUAGUUUAUGUAUAGGUUUAUAAUGAGUUACUAUUAUUUAUAAUAAUAGAUUAUAUUUUGAAAUUUGGUAUAUGAAAAAGGAUUUAUUAGUAAUAAAUAAUUAAAUAGUAUUUAUGAAUUAUAUACUAAUUUAUGU